Microplitis mediator is the source of this 1909-nucleotide long non-coding RNA. RefSeq lists it as uncharacterized. The transcript is spliced from 4 exons. The record is from RefSeq and is a predicted model, not a curated record. Lineage: Eukaryota; Metazoa; Arthropoda; Insecta; Hymenoptera; Braconidae.
UCGAGGAAAUCAACGGCGUGUUAUGUAGCUGUCAUUGAGCGUUUUUAGUUUUUUACUCAACAUGUUACUGUUUUAUCUCACAUGACAGAUUUUGAAGCAGGUCUUCGAAAAGCAUUACGAGAGUCAUAUCCCAAUGCAACCGCUCAAAGUUGUUAUUUUCAUUUUGUACAAGCCAUUAUUAAAAAAGCCAAAGAGUUAGGUAUAUUAAAAAAAAUAGAAAACUGGGAAGACGGAAAAAAAUUUUUUAGAAAGAUACUUGCUCUAGCACUGCUACCAAGUGGUGAUAUUUUACAAGCAUUUCAUUGGUUACUCCAAAUACAUACUCCUUUCUAUCAUAUUUUCAAAAACUUUCUCGACUAUUUCAUAGAUUAUUGGUUACUAAAAAUUACACCAGCAGGAUUUAGUGUCUAUAGAUUAAAAAUUAAAACUAACAACUAUACCGAAUCAUAUCAUCGAAGACUCAACAAGUUUUUCGGCUUACAUUCAUCACUUUGGCAAUUUACCUUGAACCUCCGACGCCUUCAUGAAAUCACAAAAAUUGAAGUAUAAUCGUUAUUACUAUUGCAACCUGUACGAAGAGAGACACGACCGAAAGAUUUACUUCGAGCUCAAUUGCUGGACCCCUUGUAGGAAAAAAAAAAAAAUUGAUAACCGGGCCAGUCUUGGCACAAUACUGGGCUACCGAGGCUCGGCCUCCCAAGGUUGGUCCGAGAUCCGACCAACGUUCAAGUGACGAGUCUUGGUUUGCUAGUCUUGGGCCAAGAUUCAGCCAAUGCUCAAGUGACAAGCCUUGGUUUGCCAGUCUUGGGACAAGGUUCAGCCAAUACUCAAGUGACAAGCCUUGGGCCAAGAUUCAGCCAAUGCUCGAGUGACAAGCCUUGGUUUGCCAGUCUUGGGACAAGGUUCAGCCAAUACUAAAGUGACAUGCCUUGGUUUGCCAGUCUUGGGACAAGGUUCAGCCAAUGCUCAAGUGACAAGCAUUCGUUUGCCAGUCUUGGGACAAGGUUCAGCCAUUAUACAAGUGGCAAGCCUUGGUUUACCAGUCUAAAUAACAAAUGGUACCUAAAGACCCCUGGCUUUUGUGAAUAGCGUAACAGCUUAGUGGAUAAGACGCUUGCCUAGCAAUCAUGAAGGACCAGGUUCGAGACCCAGCAAAUGCAAAACAAAAAUGAGUUUCAUCGAUCCACCUGAUUUCUCUGUGUACAAAUUUAUUUCCAUAUGUUACCAUCACGCACAUGUCUACUAGUAUUUUUUUUUUUUAAUUUAUUUUUAAUAAGCUAGGUGCUUAUUUAGCAACAGUCUUGGCACAAUACUGGCUCUCGAUAUUGGGCCAAUACUUAGAUGCAGUCUUGGCACAACACUGUCACUCAAGCUUGGCUGGGUGUUAUCAUUUCGAUGCUUAGACAGACUUGGGCCAAGCUUGGAUUUCAAACUUUCCCCAGAGUUAAUAAGUCUUGCGCCAAGCCUCGGCCAAGCUUGGGCCUAUUGUUUCUUCCUAUAAGGGACAGGGCAUGGGAAUUAUAUGAUUUUGAUGUGUUAGACAUUCCACAUUUUCUUGAACUUGCUGAAUAUAUAUCACCUGUGUUGGCCGAUGGAAAUAUAUAAAUAAGUAUCGAGGAUGUAGAUAAUUUUAUUCAUAUUCCCAUUUACAGAUACGUUGCAGUCGCUGAGGAUAAUUAUGUGGCUAUUAAUAAUGAUGAAGCGAACCAUGUGCAGCAUAUACUCUUCAUCCAAUAAAAUUAGAAAAUUUCAUUAAGAAAAAAGAGCUUGGAAAUUGAGUGAAAAAUAACUUUGUCUCAAAAAAAACUAUGUUAAAUUGCUACUGAAGAACGUCUACAGUUAAAAUGCCUUUUGUGCAACGAGUCAGUGCAGAACUUUGCUUGUGUAUUAGAAAUAAUAACGUAAAUAU